UGCUCAACCAAUGGAGCCACCAACGUGACCCAGAACCCUUCUCAUUCUCCUUAGCACUUAGCGCUGUAUCCUCAUUGAGAAGAUGCCCUUUGAACAAAGACCUGAAGAAUGGCCUGCAGAUGUCUCUGGAAAAUCGUCCAGUUUCUCCGAGGACCAGGGUUAAGAACAUGUGGAAAUAUUUAUGUGGUGAAAUGAAUACUGGAACAAGAGCUACAAGAAUUGAAUUUUAGUGUUAUCGUCUGCCAACAAACCACGCAUCUUUGAGUAAAGCCAUGCAGCAUCCCUGGCCCAGAUUGUUAAGAAAAAAUGAGGCUGUUCAAUUGGAUGUCUUAAAUAUGUUUUCUAGCUUAAAGGUGAUGGUAUUAGAAGGUGGAGCUUUGGGAGGUGCUGAAGUCUCUAGGGUGAAGCCCUGAUGAAUGGGAUUAGUGCCUUAUAAAAGGGGCUUCGCAGAGCCCCCCUCCCCUCCCUGCCGUGUCGGGAUCCGAUCAGAUGCCUGCCACCUGGAAGAAGGCCUUCGCUGACCGUGCUGGCGCCUUGAUCUCGAACUCCCAGUCUCCAGAACGAGUGUGACUCCCACUGCGUCAGCUGUUCAGUUGGAGAAAGGCCACUCAAUUAUCCAGCCACAAUAUACAAUGUAAUUGACAAUCAUCCUUGGGCUGAGACAUUUUCUCCUUGGAGACUCCCCUGAUUGAAGUUGGGCUACGU
Molecule: long non-coding RNA, 705 nt
Organism: Leopardus geoffroyi (Geoffroy's cat)
Lineage: Eukaryota; Metazoa; Chordata; Mammalia; Carnivora; Felidae
Exons: 4
Source: RefSeq, a predicted model, not a curated record